Molecule: ribosomal RNA, 260 nt
Filed under: uncultured archaeon
Lineage: Archaea
Description: partial 16S ribosomal RNA
Rfam family: Archaeal small subunit ribosomal RNA
Source: RNAcentral
CAGCCGUAAACUAUGCGCGUUAGGUGUACUGGUGACCACGAGUCACCGGGUGCCGAAGGGAAACCGUGAAACGUGCCGCCUGGGAAGUACGGUCGCAAGGCUGAAACUUAAAGGAAUUGGCAGGGGAGCACCACAACGGGUGGAGCCUGCGGUUUAAUUGGACUCAACGCCGGAAAUCUCACCGGAUAGGACAGACAUAUGAUAGUCGGGCUGAAGACUCUACUUGAUGAUCUGAGAGGAGGUGCAUGGCGUCAGUGACU